GAUGAACGCUGGCGGCGUGCUUAACACAUGCAAGUCGAACGGAAAGGCCCAAGCUUGCUUGGGUCCUCGAGUGGCGAACGGGUGAGUAACACGUGGGUGAUCUGCCCUGCACUUCGGGAUAAGCCUGGGAAACUGGGUCUAAUACCGGAUAGGACCACAUUUUGGAUGGUGUGGUGGAAAGUUUUUCGGUGUGGGAUGAGCUCGCGGCCUAUCAGCUUGUUGGUGGGGUAAUGGCCUACCAAGGCGUCGACGGGUAGCCGGCCUGAGAGGGUGUACGGCCACAUUGGGACUGAGAUACGGCCCAGACUCCUACGGGAGGCAGCAGUGGGGAAUAUUGCACAAUGGGCGCAAGCCUGAUGCAGCGACGCCGCGUGGGGGAUGACGGCCUUCGGGUUGUAAACUCCUUUCGCUAGGGAAGAAGCGUUUUUGUGACGGUACCUGGAGAAGAAGCACCGGCUAACUACGUG
RNAcentral lists this ribosomal RNA (467 nucleotides) under uncultured bacterium. Its description in RNAcentral is "partial 16S ribosomal RNA". It matches the Rfam family "Bacterial small subunit ribosomal RNA", at positions 28 to 507 of the family's 1533-position model. The record is from RNAcentral.